CCCAGUACUAAGCCGCAGAAUCUCCUGAGGACUCUCCCGCGGGGUGCAAACCCGGCCCCGUCUGCUCUUAGAAAUAAAGUGACACUGGGACACAGGUGCACCCGUUUGUUUAUGGACCGCCUACAGCCGCUUUCGGUCCAUGAC
Long non-coding RNA from Lynx canadensis (Canada lynx), 144 nucleotides. RefSeq lists it as uncharacterized. NCBI's taxonomy places the organism in Eukaryota, Metazoa, Chordata, Mammalia, Carnivora, Felidae. The record is from RefSeq and is a predicted model, not a curated record. The transcript has 3 exons.